Molecule: ribosomal RNA, 838 nt
Filed under: uncultured Bacillota bacterium
Lineage: Bacteria; Bacillati; Bacillota
Description: bacterial SSU rRNA
Rfam family: Bacterial small subunit ribosomal RNA
Source: RNAcentral
GCAUUUAAGACAUGCAAGUCGAACGAAAAUUUACGCUUAAAGAGUUGAUUAGUUUACUAAGAGAUGAUUUAUUGUAAAUUUUAGUGGCGGACUGGUGAGUAAUACAUAGGUAAUCUGCCUUUUAGAGGGGAAUAACUAGGAGAAAUCCUAGCUAAUACCGCGUAAGACCACACUUAGGCAUCUAAGAGAGGUCAAAGGAGUAAUCCGCUAAAAGAUGAGCCUGUGGCUGAUUAGUUAGUUGGUGGGGUAAGAGCCUACCAAGACGAUGAUCAGUAGCCGAGCUGAGAGGCUGGCCGGCCACAUUGGGACUGAGAUACGGCCCAGACUCCUACGGGAGGCAGCAGUUGGGAAUAUUGGACAAUGGAGGAAACUCUGAUCCAGUGACGCCGCGUGAAGGAAGAAGGUCUUCGGAUUGUAAACUUAUUUUAUCAGGGAAGAAGAAAGUGACAGUACCUGAAGAAAAAGGACCGGCAAACUACGUGCCAGCAGCCGCGGUAAUACGUAGGGUCCAAGCGUUAUCCGGAUUUACUGGGUGUAAAGGGCGAGUAGACGGCGCUGUAAGUCAGCUGUGAAAACUUAGGGCUCAACCUUAAGCCUGCAGCUGAAACUGUAGUGCUAGAGUGCAGGAGAGGUAAGCGGAAUUCCUAGUGUAGCGGUGAAAUGCGUAGAUAUUAGGAGGAACACCAGUGGCGAAGGCGGCUUACUGGACUGUAACUGACGUUGAGGCGCGAAAGUGUGGGGAGCAAACAGGAUUAGAUACCCUGGUAGUCCACACCGUAAACGAUGGAUACUAGGUGUAGGCGAGAUAUCGUCUGUGCCGGCGGGAACCCAAUAAGUA